RNAcentral lists this non-coding RNA (26 nucleotides) under Homo sapiens (human). Lineage: Eukaryota; Metazoa; Chordata; Mammalia; Primates; Hominidae. The record is from RNAcentral.
UAGUGUUUCUUGGAGCUCACCAAGUC